UUGGGAUUUGAAUUGAUAAGGAUGAAUUUAAAAGUUGAAUUGAUGUUUAAUUGAUAAAUUAUGAUGUUUAAUCUGAGUUUAAUGGUUAGUUUUGGUGAAUUGAUCUAAAGAAAUAAUCUAGGGUUCUUGAGGAAUAAUUGGGAUUUUUGCUUGAUUGUUGUGUAAGGUGAGUUAUGAGCUUGAUUAAAGGACUUUGAUGACGAUUUGGGAGCUUGAACCAUUCGGCAUAGUUCAUCAACCAAGACUCGAAGAAGCGACUAUCGAUAAGGCUCGAGGCGAACGGAUCGAGAUGUCUUCGUGUUAUUUGAAGAAUAUGGAUAGCAAGUGGGAUAGUAUGAUAUGAUUUGAAGAGUCAAGCUUCCGAAGUUUUAAUUCUCGGAAGUCAUUUGCACGUGAAGUAAAAGAAGGUUUUCAUUCUAGCGGUCCGCAGUAGUCUAGAUGUUUUUGUCUAUGUAUUUGUAUAACGCAUCUUAACUCUGAUGUUUUUGUAAAAUGGGGUCACAUGUAUUUUGAUAUAUGAAACAUGAUUUGAUUUGCGAAAAA
Long non-coding RNA from Mercurialis annua (annual mercury), 543 nucleotides. RefSeq lists it as uncharacterized. NCBI's taxonomy places the organism in Eukaryota, Viridiplantae, Streptophyta, Magnoliopsida, Malpighiales, Euphorbiaceae. The transcript is spliced from 3 exons. The record is from RefSeq and is a predicted model, not a curated record.